UAAUACGUAGGGACCAAGCGUUGUUCGGAUUUACUGGGCGUAAAGGGCGCGUAGGCGGCUUGUCAAGUCACUUGUGAAAUCUCUGGGCUUAACCCAGAACGGCCAAGUGAAACUGACAUGCUAGAGUGCAGAAGGGGCAAUCGGAAUUCUUGGUGUAGCGGUGAAAUGCGUAGAUAUCAAGAGGAACACCUGAGGUGAAGACGGGUUGCUGGGCUGACACUGACGCUGAUGCGCGAAAGCCAGGGGAGCAAACGGGAUUAGAUACCCCGGUAGUCCUGGCCCUAAACGAUGAAUACUUGGUGUCUGGAGUUAUUAGUGCUCUGGGUGCCGUCGCUAACGUUUUUAGUAUUCCGCCUGGGGAGUACGCUCGCAAGAGUG
This 378-nucleotide ribosomal RNA is filed under the name uncultured bacterium. RNAcentral describes it as "bacterial SSU rRNA". It matches the Rfam family "Bacterial small subunit ribosomal RNA", at positions 521 to 896 of the family's 1533-position model. The record is from RNAcentral.